GAUGAACGCUGGCGGCGUGCCUAAUACAUGCAAGUCGAGCGAACAGACGAUGCUCUUGCUCCACUCACGUUAGCAACGGACGGGUGACUAAUACGUGGUUAACCCUGCUAUACGGCUUGAAUAACUUCGAGUAACCCGAGUUCCUGCCGGGUACUAUUUUUAACCUGAUGGUUCAAUAGUGUAAGCGGUGUUUGCUGACCUUUCUACCUGUAUCCGCGUCGCAUUAGCUAGUUGGUAAGGUAACGGCUUCCCAAGGCCACGAUGCGUAGCCGACCUGAGAGGGUGAUCGGCCACACUGGGACUGAGACACGGUACAGACUCCUACGGGAGGCAGCGGUAGGGAAUGUUGCGAAAUGGGCGAAAGACUGACGGAGGAACGCAGGGUGGGUGAUGAAGGGCUGCGGAUCGUAAAACGCUGUUAGUAGGGAAGAACAAAUGUGUAAGUAACGAUGCUCGUCGUGACGGUACCUAAACAGAAAGCCACGGCUAACUACGUG
This 497-nucleotide ribosomal RNA is filed under the name uncultured bacterium. RNAcentral describes it as "partial 16S ribosomal RNA". It matches the Rfam family "Bacterial small subunit ribosomal RNA", at positions 28 to 507 of the family's 1533-position model. The record is from RNAcentral.